UUUUAUGGAGAGUUUGAUCCUGGCUCAGGAUGAACGCUGGCGGCGUGCCUAAUACAUGCAAGUCGAGCGAACGGAUGAGAAGCUUGCUUCUCUGAUGUUAGCGGCGGACGGGUGAGUAACACGUGGAUAACCUACCUAUAAGACUGGGAUAACUUCGGGAAACCGGAGCUAAUACCGGAUAAUAUUUUGAACCGCAUGGUUCAAAAGUGAAAGACGGUCUUGCUGUCACUUAUAGAUGGAUCCGCGCUGCAUUAGCU
Molecule: ribosomal RNA, 257 nt
Filed under: Staphylococcus aureus
Lineage: Bacteria; Bacillati; Bacillota; Bacilli; Caryophanales; Staphylococcaceae
Description: partial 16S ribosomal RNA
Rfam family: Bacterial small subunit ribosomal RNA
Source: RNAcentral